GCAACUCCACCAAUACCCAAUCAGCCCUUUUUUCCUUCCUCUCUUCUUCAUUUCAUUUCGUUUUUAUUUUUUCUUUUCUCAUUCCAAUAUUUUCUCUCUUUGCCUGGGCCCCCUUCUAUUUCUAUCUCUCGUUUCAUACAUCAAAAACAAUACGCCGGAGCUCCGCCCAGGUUGUCAGACGAGGAAUCCAACCAAUCGAUAUGCCCUUCAUUAAAUCUCCUGCGCCUUCCCCACUCGUCCCUUCAAAAACCGAUUGCGAGAAAUAAACACAGGCACUAAAGUAUUUCCAUUUCCGUAUAAAUUCUCCUCUCUUUUUUAUUAUUCGAUUCGCUAUAUUGCGACACGAGGAAAUGUUAUUGAUUUAGAUUAGGGCGG
Molecule: long non-coding RNA, 375 nt
Organism: Daphnia pulicaria
Lineage: Eukaryota; Metazoa; Arthropoda; Branchiopoda; Diplostraca; Daphniidae
Exons: 3
Source: RefSeq, a predicted model, not a curated record